ACGGGAGGCAGCAGCUAAGAAUAUUCCGCAAUGGACGAAAGUCUGACGGAGCGACGCCGCGUGGAUGAUGAAGGCCGGAAGGUUGUAAAAUCCCUUUAUAACUGAGGAAUAAGUCUGGAGAGAGAAACGCCGGAUGGUGACUGUAGGUUAUGAAUAGGCAACGGCUAAUUACGUGCCAGCAGCCGCGGGAACACGUAAGUUGCGAGCGGUGUUCGGAAUUAUUGGGCGUAAAGGGCAUGUAGGCGGUCUUGCAAGCUUGGUGUGAAAUUCCUGGGCUCAACUCCGGAACUGCGUUGAGUACUGCAUAACUAGAGUCACUGAGGGGCAGUCAGAAUUCCUGGUGUAGGGGUGAAAUCUGUAGAUAUCAGGAAGAAUACCAAUGGCGAAGGCAGGUUACCAGCAGAUGACUGACGCUGAGGUGCGAAGGUGCGGGGAGCAAACAGGAUUAGAUACCCUGGUA
This 460-nucleotide ribosomal RNA is filed under the name uncultured Treponema sp. RNAcentral describes it as "partial 16S ribosomal RNA". It matches the Rfam family "Bacterial small subunit ribosomal RNA", at positions 341 to 792 of the family's 1533-position model. The record is from RNAcentral. Lineage: Bacteria; Pseudomonadati; Spirochaetota; Spirochaetia; Treponematales; Treponemataceae.